RNAcentral lists this transfer RNA (71 nucleotides) under Panesthia sp. Salganea. RNAcentral describes it as "tRNA-Lys". The record is from RNAcentral. RNAcentral also lists the same sequence under 1 other name. Lineage: Eukaryota; Metazoa; Arthropoda; Insecta; Blattodea; Blaberidae.
CAUCAGAUGACUGAAAGAAAGUAAUGGUCUCUUAAACCAAAAAAUAGUAAACUAACGCUUACUUCUGAUGA